Molecule: long non-coding RNA, 3494 nt
Organism: Ictalurus furcatus (blue catfish)
Lineage: Eukaryota; Metazoa; Chordata; Actinopteri; Siluriformes; Ictaluridae
Exons: 3
Source: RefSeq, a predicted model, not a curated record
UCAAAUUUCUCUAUGUGGAUUACUCAGAUAUAUUGUGCUAUGAUUGUUUAACCAUCAAAUCAUGCUUACCAGACAAAGGCAUAUGAUUAUGGGGUGUUACAGGAGCCAAGUGUUCUAGGACUAAAAUAUAAAGUGAUAUUAUCUUAGUCUGCUCUUUUUCUUUGACCAAGGAUGGAAAUAGGUGCAGCCAAAGGUUAAAUGCGUGUUUUAGGUUUAUGAUUUAAAUAUCUGACUUCAAUACAUUUAACUAAUUAUCUGACUCCAAUUUAUAAUACCUGUUAACUUCAUAAUCUGACUCCAAUUUACUAGGUUAACUUAAUGUAACUGAUUUCAAAGAAUAAUCUUUUAAGGAUAAGCAGUAUAGAAGAUGGAUGGAUGGAUUGUAUAUAUGUAUACGGUCAGGAAUGUGACCGUGGAAACAAACAAGCGGUUCUCCAGAAGCCACUGCAGGACUUGACGGACAUGGAGAGUAUGCUCAGUGAGCAUGCGGGAGAAUAUCAGGAUGUUGUCCAACUAAACAAACACUAAGCGAUUCAUGAAGUCCUGGAGUACAUCAUUGACGAGAGCUUGAAACACAGCUGGGGCAUUGGUGAGGCCGAAAGGCAUGACCAGGUUUUGAACUGACCCAGAGCGGUGUUGAAUGCAGUCUUCCAUUCGUCCCCUGCUCUGGUAUGGUGGUAUGCGUUCCAUAGGUGUGACGAUAGUGGCCCCAUGCAGAGGCUGAAAGGCGGAGUUGAGGAGUGGCAGGGGGUACUUUUUCUUCACUGUGAUGUUGUUGAGGCCCCGGUAAUCAAUGCAAGGAGGGAGGACCCUCAGUCCUUGCAUUGAUUACCGGGGCCUCAACAACAUCUUAUCUUUCUUGGCCACAAAGAAGAAGCCAGCACCCAGGAAGGAGGAGGAAGGUUGGAUCAUGCCGGCAGCUAGGGACUCCUUUAUGUAUUUCUCCAUGGCCUCUCUCUCAGGCCAGGACAGGUUAUAGAAACGACCAGAGGGAAGGGCAGCCCCAAGGAGGAGGUUGAUAGCACAGUCGUACGGGCAAUGAGGUGGUAAGGAAAAGGCCCAGUCCUUACUAAAAUCCUCACCCAGGUCAUGGUUCUUGGGAAGCACAGUGGAGAGGUCUGGAGGAGUGGGCAUCUGGGAACCUGUGGUGGCUGCAGUGGGAGGAAGGGCUGAUUUCAGGCAUGAAGAGUGACAAAAAGGAAGAAUGAAUAUUUACGAUCCUCCCUGCUGACCCCAGUCUAUGUGAGGGUUGUCUCUUUUAAGCCAAGAAUAGCCUAGUACCAGCAGGUCACAUAAUGAGGAGAUGAGGUUCAGCUGAACCUUCUCAUAGUGGUUCCCAGAAAACACAAGGAGCAAUGGGGCAGUGCAAUGGGUGAUCUGGGCCAGGUAUUUCCCAUCCAGGGCAUUGACAGUAAUGGGAAGAUCCAGGGACUUGAUGGGUAGGCCAGACUGUGACGCUAACUCCUUAUCCAGGAAGUUAUCUUCAGCACCUGAGUCGAUAAGUGCGAGGAGGGAAACGGAGAGCUGGUUAGGGGGUAGGGGGUCAGUAGUGGCAGCUGUUUGGCUCACCAGUAGCCCCCAACCUACUGAUGAACCCUUCCCCUUUAAACAUAAGGAGCAGUUAGCCAGGGCGUGGCCUGGUUGGCCACAAUAGAAGCAUGUGCCUGUCUGGAAUCUUAUCCCCCACUGAGCAGGAGUAAGUCUGGUCUGACCCAGCUGCAUGGGUUCUUCCCCAGGUCACUUGGUGUUAGGUGACAGAAUUCUGGGACAGGACUGAGGCUUGGGGGCAGGAUUGGCAGAUGAAUGAAGAAGAGAACUGGAGGUGAAAGGUGCCUGGGGUUGGCUAGUUCUCUCUUUGUGCCGCUCCCACGAUUAUCCAACCUGAUAGCCAGGGAGAUUAGUUGGUCGAGGGAGUCUGACACUGGGACAUGUGCUUCCUGGUGUGGUGGACUGGAAGAGGCGGCAGACUGAAUGACCAGGGCAGGCUGACUGGGCUGGGGGCCAGGGGGUGUCUGGGCCAGUUGGGGGAGGAUGCUGUUUAAUUGCUGGUUGAGGAGCCCGAGCUGGUCCACCAUGGCCUGGUGGCUCUCAGUGAGUGCACAGAGCUAUAGUUCAUGUUGACCCAGGAGGGUUCCCUGAUGGGACAGCGCUGACUGCAGGGGAGCUGGCUCUGCUGGGUUCAUGUUGGCCCGACUGAGUGUUGUCAAAGCCGGGGCUCAAACUCAGGUCGGCAACAUGCGAGCUGAGGAAAUUUAUUAGUUUAAUUUGGUGCAAACAUUGUACAAUUACUUAAGAAGUAUUUACUAUGUGAUAAAACAAUAGAAACCUUUAGAAAUUUGCAAAAAAUAUCCUUAUAUCUCCAACAGACUUACUGAAUUGCAGUGUUUGGCAGUAGCAACUGGUGAGAUGCUACUAGGUCACCUAUAUUUUAAGUAGCUGUUUUAAAUUUAUUGUAGCUUUUCCAUUAAUGAACUACCUUUUCAGCAAGUGGUGUACUGCAACAAAACAAUACACCACCUUUUCCUUUUUCACAUAACCAUUCUUUCAUUUAUUUUCAUCUUCAGUAACCGAUUUAUCCUGGUCAGAGUUUUGAUGGUUCCAGAGUCUGUCCCGGUAAACACUGGAUGAUUCAGGACUCUAGGAUUGUGGAGGUGUGACAUGAAUUAUUCCUUUGAAAAUGCCAGGGAGAAAGAAAAACUAAUACAACAUGCAUGAAUUAAGUUGGCUCUUACCACUGAUUGUGAUCCCAAGCUCGACUCCUCUCUUCUUUGGCAGCUUCACAUGAAAGAUUCAUGGUAUCUACUUGAAUAUACAAACCUGCUACAUCAAACUCAAUCUCUAGCAUGACCUUAUUAGUCAAAGCAGCAUCUCGGAGCAGCUGAUUGGCCUCCUCCAUCGUGCCAUCCUCUGUGGGAAUGCCAUUGAUUGACAAGAGCCGGUCGCCAACCUGGAGCAGCCCACACCUGCCAAUCAAGCCAGCAUCAUUAAAAUAAUGCCAACUAUGUUUGAAGUAACCAAAAAAAAGAUCUGAGUCCCUAUCUAAUAUUGAACUCUCACAUCUACUGCAACCUUGUGCAACUUGUUUGUUUUUGUUUUUUUUAACACAGUAAGACACAGUAAGACCUUUGAUACAUCCUAUGAUGAAAUAAUUUGCAGAACAGAAAGAAAGUGCCACUUGCUGACUUGAUUGAUGUGAGGCGGUAAAAAUGUGCCAGAAGAGCUCUUUUGCAGAAUAAUAAUGAGCUGCACUAAUCAAACAUAGCAUUGUUUCCUGUAAUUAUAAAUGUAAAUGAGAAUACAUCUGCCAUAUAACUGCAAUGGAAUGGAAAUGAGUGAGUUUUACUGUGAUUUCUGCAAUCCUAUCAUUAAAAAUAAUCUAACAAAGCCAUUACUUUUGGGAUUGCAUACAAGUAAUACAUGGGUAAUUCUUUCCACAGCUAUCAGUUAGGUACUGCUGUCAUCUCUUAUGCUCCAUUUUCAAGCAUGACUCAUGU